Molecule: ribosomal RNA, 437 nt
Filed under: uncultured bacterium
Lineage: Bacteria
Description: bacterial SSU rRNA
Rfam family: Bacterial small subunit ribosomal RNA
Source: RNAcentral
UGAGGAAUAUUGGUCAAUGGGCGGGAGCCUGAACCAGCCAAGCCGCGUGGAGGAAGAAGGUACAGAGUAUCGUAAACUCCUUUUGUCAGGGGAUAAAAGGCGCCACGAGUGGCGUUCUGAAGGUACCUGAAGAAAAAGCAUCGGCUAACUCCGUGCCAGCAGCCGCGGUAAUACGGAGGAUGCGAGCGUUAUCCGGAUUUAUUGGGUUUAAAGGGUGCGUAGGGCGGUCUUUUAAGUCAGCGGUGAAAAGCCCGGGGGCUCAACCCCGGCGAGCCGUUGAUACUGGGGAGACUGGAGAGGAAGAGAGGCAUGCGGAAUUCGCGGUGUAGCGGUGGAAUGCUUAGAUAUCGCGAAGAACUCCGAUUGCGAAGGCAGCAUGCUGGCUUCUGUCUGACGCUGAGGCACGAAAGCGUGGGGAUCGAACAGGAUUAGAUACC